RNAcentral lists this ribosomal RNA (459 nucleotides) under uncultured bacterium. RNAcentral describes it as "partial 16S ribosomal RNA". It matches the Rfam family "Bacterial small subunit ribosomal RNA", at positions 338 to 795 of the family's 1533-position model. The record is from RNAcentral.
CCUACGGGUGGCAGCAGUGAGGAAUAUUGGUCAAUGGUCGGGAGACUGAACCAGCCAAGCCGCGUGAGGGAUGAAGGUACAGAGUAUCGUAAACCUCUUUUGUCAGGGAACAAAGGCGGGGACGUGUCCCCGGAUGAGUGUACCUGAAGAAAAAGCAUCGGCUAACUCCGUGCCAGCAGCCGCGGUAAUACGGAGGAUGCGAGCGUUAUCCGGAUUUAUUGGGUUUAAAGGGUGAGAGGGCGGUUUGUAAAGUCAGCGGUAAAAGCCCGGGGCCCACCCCCGGCCCGCCGUUGAAACUGGCAGCCUGGAGUUGGAGAGAAGUAUGCGGAAUGCGCGGUGUAGCGGUGAAAUGCAUAGAUAUCGCGCAGAACUCCGAUUGCGAAGGCAGCAUGCCGGCUCCACACUGACGCUGAGGCACGAAAGCGUGGGUAUCGAACAGGAUUAGAUACCCGUGUAGUC